CCGGGGAGAUAGCGGUGCCCUGUACCUGCAAUCCGCUACAGCAGGGGUGAUAUUCUGGCUGAGGGAAAUUUUCUGUGAAGCUGCCCUUUAUAAGUGGCGUUGAUGCUUGGGUCUUACGCAACAGAAACCUGUGAACCGUGUCAGGUCAGGAAUGGAGCAGCACUAAGCAGGAGCUUUUGUGUGCCGUGAGGGUGCCUGAGUUGAGUUAACUGUAGAGGUAACGUUCAUGGAGGUUUCUCGA
RNAcentral lists this signal recognition particle RNA (241 nucleotides) under chicken gut metagenome. RNAcentral describes it as "Bacterial large signal recognition particle RNA". It matches the Rfam family "Bacterial large signal recognition particle RNA". From Rfam's summary of the family: The signal recognition particle (SRP) is a universally conserved ribonucleoprotein involved in the co-translational targeting of proteins to membranes. Archaeal SRP consists of a 7S RNA and homologues of the eukaryotic SRP19 and SRP54 proteins. In most bacteria, the SRP consists of a 4.5S RNA and the Ffh protein (a homologue of the eukaryotic SRP54 protein). The record is from RNAcentral.